UAAAUACUAAUACCAGAUCGAUAGUGCACAAGUACCGUGAGGGAAAGGUGAAAAGAACUGAGGUGAUCAGAGUGAAAUAGAACCUGAAACCAUUUGCUUACAAUCAUUCAGAGCCCUAUGUAGCAAUACAGGGUGAUGGACUGCCUUUUGCAUAAUGAGCCUGCGAGUUGUGGUGUCUGGCAAGGUUAAGCAAACGCGAAGCCGUAGCGAAAGCGAGUCUGAAUAGGGCGCUUAGUCAGAUGCUGCAGACCCGAAACGAAGUGAUCUAUCCAUGAGCAAGUUGAAGCUAGUGUAAGAACUAGUGGAGGACUGAACCCAUAGGCGUUGAAAAGCCCCGGGAUGACUUGUGGAUAGGGGUGAAAGGCCAAUCAAACUUCGUGAUAGCUGGUUCUCUCCGAAAUAUAUUUAGGUAUAGCGUUGUGUCGUAAUAUAAGGGGGUAGAGCACUGAAUGGGCUAGGGCAUACACCAAUGUACCAAACCCUAUCAAACUCCGAAUACCUUAUAUGUAAUCACAGCAGUCAGGCGGCGAGUGAUAAAAUCCGUCGUCAAGAGGGAAACAACCCAGACUACCAGCUAAGGUCCCUAAAUCUUACUUAAGUGGAAAACGAUGUGAAGUUACUUAAACAACCAGGAGGUUGGCUUAGAAGCAGCCAUCCUUUAAAGAAAGCGUAAUAGCUCACUGGUCUAGUGAUUUUGCGCGGAAAAUAUAACGGGGCUAAAGUAAGUACCGAAGCUGUAGACUUGCGCACAACUUAGAUUAUUUAAGUUUAGAAUAUGAGAAACUAAGUUAUAUGUUUAGUUAUAUUUUUACUGAUUUUUAUAGAGUAAAGAUAGAAAUAAAACUUAGUAAAAUCAGUAAAAAUAUUCUUAGACUAAAGUUAAGUAGUUUAAGUUGUGUGCAAGUGGUAGGAGAGCGUUCUAUUUGCGUCGAAGGUAUACCGGUAAGGAGUGCUGGAGCGAAUAGAAGUGAGCAUGCAGGCAUGAGUAGCGAUAAUUAAUGUGAGAAUCAUUAACGCCGUAAACCCAAGGUUUCCUACGCGAUGCUCGUCAUCGUAGGGUUAGUCGGGUCCUAAGUCGAGUCCGAAAGGGGUAGACGAUGGCAAAUUGGUUAAUAUUCCAAUACCAACAUUAGUGUGCGAUGGAAGGACGCUUAGGGCUAAGGGGGCUAGCGGAUGGAAGUGCUAGUCUAAGGUCGUAGGAGGUUAUACAGGCAAAUCCGUAUAACAAUACUCCGAGAACUGAAAGGCUUUUUGAAGUCUUCGGAUGGAUAGAAGAACCCCUGAUGCCGUCGAGCCAAGAAAAGUUUCUAAGUUUAGCUAAUGUUGCCCGUACCGUAAACCGACACAGGUGGGUGGGAUGAGUAUUCUAAGGCGCGUGGAAGAACUCUCUUUAAGGAACUCUGCAAAAUAGCACCGUAUCUUCGGUAUAAGGUGUGGUUCGCUUCGUAUUAGGAUUUACUCCGAAAGCGAAGAAACUUACAACAAAGAGUCCCUCCCGACUGUUUACCAAAAACACAGCACUCUGCUAACUCGUAAGAGGAUGUAUAGGGUGUGACGCCUGCCCGGUGCUCGAAGGUUAAUUGAUGGGGUUAGCAUUAGCGAAGCUCUUGAUCGAAGCCCGAGUAAACGGCGGCCGUAACUAUAACGGUCCUAAGGUAGCGAAAUUCCUUGUCGGUUAAAUACCGACCUGCAUGAAUGGCGUAACGAGAUGGGAGCUGUCUCAAAGAGGGAUCCAGUGAAAUUGUAGUGGAGGUGAAAAUUCCUCCUACCCGCGGCAAGACGGAAAGACCCCGUGGACCUUUACUACAGCUUGACACUGCUAUUUGGAUAAGAAUGUGCAGGAUAGGUGGGAGGCUUUGAGUAUAUGACGCCAGUUGUAUAUGAGCCAUUGUUGAGAUACCACUCUUUCUUAUUUGGGUAGCUAACCAGCUUGAGUUAUCCUCAAGUGGGACAAUGUCUGGUGGGUAGUUUGACUGGGGCGGUCGCCUCCCAAAUAAUAACGGAGGCUUACAAAGGUUGGCUCAGAACGGUUGGAAAUCGUUCGUAGAGUAUAAAGGUAUAAGCCAGCUUAACUGCAAGACAUACAAGUCAAGCAGAGACGAAAGUCGGUCUUAGUGAUCCGGUGGUUCUGUGUGGAAGGGCCAUCGCUCAAAGGAUAAAAGGUACCCCGGGGAUAACAGGCUGAUCUCCCCCAAGAGCUCACAUCGACGGGGAGGUUUGGCACCUCGAUGUCGGCUCAUCGCAUCCUGGGGCUGGAGCAGGUCCCAAGGGUAUGGCUGUUCGCCAUUUAAAGCGGUACGCGAGCUGGGUUCAGA
RNAcentral lists this ribosomal RNA (2315 nucleotides) under Campylobacter coli. RNAcentral describes it as "partial 23S ribosomal RNA". It matches the Rfam family "Bacterial large subunit ribosomal RNA", at positions 467 to 2615 of the family's 2925-position model. The record is from RNAcentral. Lineage: Bacteria; Pseudomonadati; Campylobacterota; Epsilonproteobacteria; Campylobacterales; Campylobacteraceae.